ACUUUCAGCAACGGAUCUCUUGGUUCUCGCAUCGAUGAAGAACGCAGCGAAACGCGAUAUGUAAUGUGAAUUGCAGUGGAUCAUCGAAUUUUCGAACGCACAUUGCGCCUUCCUUCGGAAGGCAUACCUGUUUGAGUGUUAUA
This 143-nucleotide ribosomal RNA is filed under the name Groenewaldozyma salmanticensis. Its description in RNAcentral is "5.8S ribosomal RNA". It matches the Rfam family "5.8S ribosomal RNA". From Rfam's summary of the family: 5.8S ribosomal RNA (5.8S rRNA) is a component of the large subunit of the eukaryotic ribosome. It is transcribed by RNA polymerase I as part of the 45S precursor that also contains 18S and 28S rRNA. Lineage: Eukaryota; Fungi; Ascomycota; Dipodascomycetes; Dipodascales; Trichomonascaceae. The record is from RNAcentral.